This 493-nucleotide ribosomal RNA is filed under the name uncultured bacterium. RNAcentral describes it as "partial 16S ribosomal RNA". It matches the Rfam family "Bacterial small subunit ribosomal RNA", at positions 29 to 507 of the family's 1533-position model. The record is from RNAcentral.
ACGCACGCUGGCGGCGUGCUUAACACAUGCAAGUCGAACGGUGAAGCGCCUUCCUUUUUGGUGGGUGUGGAUGAGUGGCGAACGGGUGAGUAACACGUGAGUAACCUGCCCCCUUCUUCUGGAUAACCGCAUGAAAGUGUGGCUAAUACGGGAUAUUCUGGGUCUGUCGCAUGAUGGGUCUGGGAAAGAUAUUGUUUCGGUGGGGGAUGGGCUCGCGGCCUAUCAGCUUGUUGGUGGGGUGAUGGCCUACCAAGGCGGUGACGGGUAGCCGGCCUGAGAGGGUGGACGGUCACACUGGGACUGAGACACGGCCCAGACUCCUACGGGAGGCAGCAGUGGGGAAUAUUGCACAAUGGGCGCAAGCCUGAUGCAGCGACGCCGCGUGAGAGAUGGAGGCCUGCGGGUUGUGAACCUCUUUCGCCAGUGAAGCAGGCCUGCCUCGUUUGUGGGUGGGUUGACGGUAGCUGGAGAAGAAGCGCCGGCUAACUACGUG